This 262-nucleotide ribosomal RNA is filed under the name uncultured bacterium. RNAcentral describes it as "partial 16S ribosomal RNA". It matches the Rfam family "Bacterial small subunit ribosomal RNA", at positions 524 to 784 of the family's 1533-position model. The record is from RNAcentral.
UACGUAGGGUGCAAGCGUUAAUCGGAAUUACUGGGCGUAAAGCGUGCGCAGGCGGUUUUGUAAGUCUGUCGUGAAAUCCCCCGGGCUCAACCUGGGAAUUGCGAUGGAGACUGCAAGGCUAGAAUCUGGCAGAGGGGGGUAGAAUUCCACGUGUAGCAGUGAAAUGCGUAGAGAUGUGGAGGAACACCGAUGGCGAAGGCAGCCCCCUGGGUCAAGAUUGACGCUCAUGCACGAAAGCGUGGGGAGCAAACGAGGAUACGAA